CAGUAGCCGCGGUAACACGUAGGUCCCGAGCGUUGUCCGGAUUUAUUGGGCGUAAAGCGAGCGCAGGCGGUUUGAUAAGUCUGAAGUUAAAGGCUGUGGCUCAACCAUAGUUCGCUUUGGAAACCGUCAAACUUGAGUGCAGAAGGGGAGAGUGGAAUUCCAUGUGUAGCGGUGAAAUGCGUAGAUAUAUGGAGGAACACCGGUGGCGAAAGCGGCUCUCUGGUCUGUAACUGACGCUGAGGCACGAAAGCGUGGGGAGCAAACAGGAUUAGAUACCCGCGUAGUCCCUGUCUCUUAUACA
Molecule: ribosomal RNA, 301 nt
Filed under: uncultured bacterium
Lineage: Bacteria
Description: partial 16S ribosomal RNA
Rfam family: Bacterial small subunit ribosomal RNA
Source: RNAcentral